This 299-nucleotide signal recognition particle RNA is filed under the name Sparus aurata (gilthead seabream). RNAcentral's name for it is "Metazoan signal recognition particle RNA (ENSSAUG00010012137.1)". It matches the Rfam family "Metazoan signal recognition particle RNA". From Rfam's summary of the family: The signal recognition particle (SRP) is a universally conserved ribonucleoprotein. It is involved in the co-translational targeting of proteins to membranes. The eukaryotic SRP consists of a 300-nucleotide 7S RNA and six proteins: SRPs 72, 68, 54, 19, 14, and 9. Lineage: Eukaryota; Metazoa; Chordata; Actinopteri; Spariformes; Sparidae. The record is from Rfam by way of RNAcentral.
GCCGGGUGCGGUGGCGCGCGCCUGUAAUCCAAGCUCCCGGGAGGCUGAGGCUGGAGGAUCGUUUGAGCUCAGGACCUCUGAGCUGCAGCGGACUAUGUCGAUCGGGUGUCCGCACUAAGUUCGGUAUCGAUAUGGUGCUCCUGGGGGAGCCCGGGACCACCAGGUCGUCUAAGGAGGGGUGCACCGGCCCAGGUCGGACACGGAGCAGGUCAAAGCCCCCGUGCCGCUCAGUAGUGGGAUCGCGCCUGUGAAUAGACGCUGUAGUGCAGCCUGAGUAACACAGCGGGACCCAGUCUUUA